This 448-nucleotide long non-coding RNA is filed under the name Triticum aestivum (bread wheat). RNAcentral's name for it is "long non-coding RNA (TAES_LNC023716)". The record is from RNAcentral. Lineage: Eukaryota; Viridiplantae; Streptophyta; Magnoliopsida; Poales; Poaceae.
CACAGCAACAUUUUUCAUAUGAAUGUUUAGAACAAGUUCUUCCUUCCUACACUGUUACAGUACAGAUGUUCGUCGUGCUCGUCGUUGCGAGAAGAGAGAACCAAUCGACCGCGAUUGUUUCCUGUUCUUAGCACAUCGGGGUCGAUGCAUUGACCAGAUAUCAACCUACAUGUACAUGUACAUCACGAGGCUAUGGCCUCUGAGCGAGUGGCACGGUUCAGCUACAAGUGGGGCAUCACCGACUCCUCGUGCUCGGGCCGGUGGAGGUUGUGCAGGAUGUAGAGGGAGGCCGAGGAGAGGAAGAUGCAGACGGAGUAGCUUAGGAGGUCCAGCCCCGUGGUGAUCUUCACCAUCUUGCUCCGCUCGAACAUCUUCACCAGCAGGAUCAUCACGAUGACGUGCCCCACCUUUGUCUUGAGCUCGUCCAGCGACGUGAUCUUCAUCCACU